Molecule: long non-coding RNA, 1261 nt
Organism: Taeniopygia guttata (zebra finch)
Lineage: Eukaryota; Metazoa; Chordata; Aves; Passeriformes; Estrildidae
Source: RefSeq, a predicted model, not a curated record
GGGUGGGGCGUAGCCGUGAGGGGAGCUGUGGUGCGGCACCGCCGGACAAUUUGGAAUUCGACCUUGCAGGGAAGGAGGUGUUGCAUGAACUCAAAUCAAGGUUAACCAUUCCCAUGAUACUGCAGGACAAUUUAUUGCUGUGCGGGCCUUGGGAAGGAGGAAAGCCAUCCUCAGAGCCUGGAAAAAGCAGGGAAAUAAAGCGUUGGAUUUGGAAAUGAGCACAGCCAGCUGGAAUUUUAUGUCCUCACAGCUUUUUUUGGAAUGCAAACAAACAUUUCUGUUUUGUCUUCGGGGUGACCUGACCCACUUUGGUUUGAAGCCUCCAUGAGGUGCUGCUGUUGGGAUCGAUGCUGGAAAAUCACGGAAAACAGGAAUUUCUGCCUGCUACAAGCUCAGGGUAAGGAUUAAUGCACUUUUUAGCCCCCAAAAAAGUGGUGGAGCCCACCAGAAUAAAACUAUUUGACUGUGUUGGCAGAGGAAUGCGGCUGCUGGUGUUGGGAUCGGUGCUGAAAAAUCACAGAAAACAGGAAUUUUUGUCUGCUACAAGCUCAGGGUAAGGAUUAACGCACUUGAGGUGCUGCUGUUGGGAUUGGUGCUGGAAAAUCAUGGAAAACAGGAAUUCCUGGUCUUCUACAAGCUCAGGGUAAGGAUUAAUGCACUUGAGGUGCUGCUGUUGGGAUUGCUGCUGUAAAAUCACAAAAAUCAGGAAUUUUUGCCUGCUACAAGCUCAGGGGAGGGAUUAAUGCACUUUUUAACCCCCAAAAAAGUGGGAAAUGAAACAAUUUGGCCACGUAGGCAGAGCAGGAUCAUUCCCAGCUUGAACCACAGAAAGAACCGAGCCCUGCUGGUUCUCCAGGGGUUAUUCCAGCCCCAAACCAUCCCAAACUGGGAACAGGCAGCGCUGGAGCUGCCCCAGAGCCAGGCAGGGAUUCCCUUUCCCAUAACCUGCCCCAAUUCCCCUCCCCGGGAGAGGCAGGGCCCGCCUGUGUAAUUCAAGCUGCUUUGGGAUUAUUUCCUGCACCGAAGUUGUUGUUUUGUUGGGUUUUUUCUCUCCCCAACUCGCUUUUCUGGUUUGGAGCCCUGGGGGAGCAAUGGGAGGGCGCUGCUGGAGGUGAUUUUGGGAGGUUCUGAGCACAGGAGGCUGCGAGGGGGGCUGGAGCUCCUGGGUUUGUCCUGCACUCAGCAAAAUUUCCUUAUUCCUUUGCUUUUCCUUUCCUUAUUCCUUUCCCCUUCCCUUUUCUUUUCCUUAUUCCUUUCUUCU